RNAcentral lists this ribosomal RNA (497 nucleotides) under uncultured bacterium. Its description in RNAcentral is "partial 16S ribosomal RNA". It matches the Rfam family "Bacterial small subunit ribosomal RNA", at positions 28 to 507 of the family's 1533-position model. The record is from RNAcentral.
GAUGAACGCUGGCGGCGUGCCUAAUACAUGCAAGUCGAGCGAACGGACGAGAAGCUUGCUUCUCUGAUGUUAGCGGCGGACGGGUGAGUAACACGUGGAUAACCUACCUAUAAGACUGGGAUAACUUCGGGAAACCGGAGCUAUUACCGGAUAAUAUUUUGAACCGCAUGGUUCAAAAGUGAAAGACGGUCUUGCUGUCACUUAUAGAUGGAUCCGCUCUGCAUUAGCUAGUUGGUAAGGUAACGGCUUACCAAGGCAACGAUGCAUAGCCGACCUGAGAGGGUGAUCGGCCACACUGGAACUGAGACACGGUCCAGACUCCUACGGGAGGCAGCAGUAGGGAAUCUUCCGCAAUGGGCGAAAGCCUGACGGAGCAACGCCGCGUGAGUGAUGAAGGUCUUCGGAUCGUAAAACUCUGUUAUUAGGGAAGAACAUAUGUGUAAGUAACUGUGCACAUCUUGACGGUACCUAAUCAGAAAGCCACGGCUAACUACGUG